RNAcentral lists this ribosomal RNA (446 nucleotides) under uncultured bacterium. Its description in RNAcentral is "bacterial SSU rRNA". It matches the Rfam family "Bacterial small subunit ribosomal RNA", at positions 68 to 509 of the family's 1533-position model. The record is from RNAcentral.
GGUAACAGGGUGCUUGCACCGCUGACUAGUGGCGAACGGGUGAGUAAUGCGUCGGAGCGUGCCGAGUAGUGGGGGAUAACGCAACGAAAGUUGUGCUAAUACCGCAUACGUACUGAGGUAGAAAGUGGGGGACCUUCGGGCCUCACGCUAUUCGAGCGGCCGACGUCUGAUUAGCUAGUAGGUGAGGUAAAGGCUCACCUAGGCGACGAUCAGUAGCGGGUCUGAGAGGAUGAUCCGCCACACUGGGACUGAGACACGGCCCAAACUCCUACGGGAGGCAGCAGUGGGGAAUUUUGGACAAUGGGCGAAAGCCUGAUCCAGCCAUGCCGCGUGUCUGAAGAAGGCCUUCGGGUUGUAAAGGACUUUUGUCAGGGAGGAAAUCCCUAGCGUUAAUACCGCUGGGGGAUGACAGUACCUGAAGAAUAAGCACCGGCUAACUACGUGCC